CUGCAAUCUUGUGAGCAGAAAUAAGAUUAUAAAGGAUUGAGGAGUAAGUGAAGGAAUGUACUGGGGAAGAGAGUGAGUUGUUGUUGUUAUUGUUCUUCGUCUUCUUCUCCUCCUCCUCUUUCUCUCCCCCCUCCUCCUCCCCUUCCCCUCUCCUUCUUCCUCUUAUAUUUUCUUCUAUUUUUCUACGUUCCUUUAACAAAUAGACUAGCAGACUUAUGAUGAAAUAUAUUCUAUUUUUAAAACAUAUACUUAAAAAAAUUCAGACGUUAUCUACAGAACAAAAUAUCUCUACUUUAGAAGGCUAUUGAUAACUACCAACUUUCAUUUAAUUGGGUAUAUUUUUUUGAGAUUAGAAGUAUCUAUCUAUCUAUGUAUCUAUCUAUCUAUCUUUAGCUUUAGGUUUCAAACUAUAAAGGAAAAUCUUUUUUUUUUUAAUUUUUAUUUAUUUAUGAUAGUCACAGAGAGAGAGAGAGAGAGAGGCAGAGACACAGGCAGAGGGAGAAGCAGGCUCCAUGCACGGGGAGCCCGAUGUUGGAUUCGAUCCCGUGUCUCCAGGAUCGCGCCCAGGGGCAAAGGCAGGUGCUAAACCGCUGCGCCACCCAGGGAUCCCUAUAAAGGAAAAUCCUAAUACAGAACGGAGUUAUUUUAAGAUAACAAUUCUAUGAAGAGACUAUGGGCAAUGCAGAGCUGUUCUGAAAAUUAUAAAAACUGUUUCAAUGAGGAAAAGUCACUUCUUCUCGGAACGUUCUUGCUUAUAAUGCCUUUAUCAAGAGUAUUUGCUUUUUGGACCUCCUCUGUGGGUACUUCCUUUACAACUGGCUCCAAUCAACCUUUCCUUCCAAGUACUCUGCCUUCUUUUCUCAGGUGAGUUAGUCAUAUGUGUAUCUGCAGCUAAAUAAUACAGUUACAAAGGGAGUGUUUUGUUAUUCUCUAUGGUUUGCAAC
Molecule: long non-coding RNA, 944 nt
Filed under: Vulpes vulpes (red fox)
Lineage: Eukaryota; Metazoa; Chordata; Mammalia; Carnivora; Canidae
Description: lncRNA (ENSVVUG00000020165.1)
Source: RNAcentral